RNAcentral lists this ribosomal RNA (442 nucleotides) under uncultured bacterium. RNAcentral's name for it is "partial 16S ribosomal RNA". It matches the Rfam family "Bacterial small subunit ribosomal RNA", at positions 338 to 795 of the family's 1533-position model. The record is from RNAcentral.
CCUACGGGAGGCAGCAGUGGGGGAUAUUGCACAAUGGGGGAAACCCUGAUGCAGCGACGCCGCGUGGGCGAAGAAGUAUUUCUGUAUUUAAAGCCCUAUCAGCAGGGAAGAAGAAAUGACGGUACCUGUGUAAGAAGCACCGGCUAAAUACGUGCCAGCAGCCGCGGUAAUACGUAUGGUGCAAGCGUUAUCCGGAUUUCCUGGGUGUAAAGGGUGCGCAGGCGGCACGGCAAGCCUGAUGUGAAAGCCCGGGGCCCAACCGGGGGACUGCAUUUGGAACUACCGGGCUGGAGUGUCGGGGAGGUAGGCGGAAUUCCUGGUGUAGCGGUGAAAUGCGUAGAGAUUAGAAGGAACACCAGUGGCGAAGGCGGCCUACUGGACGGUGACUGACGCUGAGGCUCGAAAGCGUGGGGAGCAAACAGGAUUAGAUACCCCUGUAGUC